Esox lucius (northern pike) is the source of this 334-nucleotide long non-coding RNA. The record is from Ensembl. Lineage: Eukaryota; Metazoa; Chordata; Actinopteri; Esociformes; Esocidae.
GUCUCGUUCUUUUUUUGUUGUUAUUUUUAAGCUCGAAGAACACUGGGUGAUCUUUUAUAGAUAAUGACUGACAUGAAGGAGAGGCAGCUACAAUCCUCUGAGCGACGGUCCAUCACGGUCACAUGGACGUCCUCGCUAGGGGGAGCCCUCGAGUGGAUGUUGAGCAGGACGGACGGCGAUGAGUGAUGUUGAAAGCGGGUGGAGGGUACCAUUAGGACGCGCACUGCAACCUGUUGCUCACUCGAGAAGUCUGCAUUUCCAAUUUUGAAAAGUCCUAAGAUUUGUCACAUAUUAUGUUUAAUUAAAUAUAAAAACGAACAAAAAUAAAACCCCA